AAAUAGCAUUUUUUUUUCCAGGAUUUCAAAUUUAAAUUUUGAAAUGGACUAAAUUAAACACAAACCCCACUUCAACAAUUUGUUAAAAAGUAUCCUCAACUCAAGAUUCACUACACAGAAUUCCAAAAUUCACCAAAAAUGGAAAACAAAAAAUGAAUUCCAUAAACGGUUAACCGAAUUCCAAAUAUUCUCUCUUUCUUCCAACUCAAUUUCAUUCAUCAAUGGCGAAUCAGAGCAAAGAUUUACCCAUGGAAUGCUGGGAAUUGAUAUUCAAUCGACUAACUCACCAAUCCGACUUGGAAUCAUUUUCACUGGUGUGUAAACAGUUUCUUGCUUUGACAAAUCGGCUACGACUCAGUUUGUCGGUAAUUGACUCUACUUUGCUCAUCCACGGUACUAUAGCGAAACUCAUUCACCGUUUUCCGAAUCUUAGUUCCAUAGAUUUGAGUAAUUUUAGCGGUGAUCUUGAUCCUGUUCUUGUUGAUCUUGCUAAUUCUGUUUCGUAUACAUCGAAAAUCGAGAAACUUGAUGUAUCGAAUCGGAAGAAGUUGCCAGUUAAGGGGUUGAGGGAGUUGGCUGGGAACUUGAAGGGGUUGAGGGUUUUGAAUUGUAGUAAUGUGAGUGUUUUGUGUGAUUAUGAUCUGUAUGUUAUUGCUGAUUUGUUUCCGUAUUUGGAAGAGAUAGAUAUUAGCUAUCCGAGUAUGGAUUAUGUUGUGGAUAGGGGGUAUAUUGCUUCUGAGGCUAGUAAAUUGGCUGUGACUGAUGAUGGGAUUGAGGUUUUAUCGGUGAAAUUGAGUGGCUUGCGGAGGAUUAAUAUUGCGGGGAAUCAUUUGAUUACUGAUAGGUCACUUGUUGCACUUUCGAUGAAUUGUUUGAAUUUAGAAGGCGUUGAGAUGGAUGAUUGCCCUUUUGUUACUUUGAAAGGUAUACUUUCUAUACUGCGUACUUGUGCUGCGUUGAGUUGGAUUUCAGUAUCUGAGAUUCGCAUUGAUAAAACGAGUUCUGGUUUUGAAUGUUUGGCUACUUCUAGCCGAACUUUACAGAAACUCGAGGUUGCCAAUUCGAGUAUCUCGGAUGAAUUCCUCUUCAUGGUGGCUAAUGCUUGUUUACCUUUGAAUACGCUUUCACUUUGUUGGUGUAGUGAUUUUACAUUAUCUGGUAUCUCUAAGCUGUUGUGUGCCUACCGGUCACUGAAGUUCGUAUCUUUGGAUGAGGUAGAGCUUUUGACAGAUGAGUAUAUGAAUGAGAUAUCCCAAUAUCUAAGAUGUCUUGCUACCAUUCAUCUCGGUGGUUGUGUGAGAUUGACCAAUUUGACAUUCUUCACACUUGCAAGGAACUGUCCUUUACUAGAGCAAGUUUACAUGGAAAAUACUGGUUUUGGGACGAAGGACUGUUUUCAGCAUGGUGUAAAGAACCUGAGAAUCAGGGAUGUUAAUUUGUCAAGUAACAGGUACCUAGAUGAUGAUGCUCUCAUGAACGUUGCUUUGAUUUGCCCCAACAUGGAUUUUCUAGAUGUUUCAUCGUGUAAUUGUCUUACAGAGGCAGGUAUUAUUUCUGCUCUUGAGGUGUGCAAUCAGAUAAGGAAUUUGCAACUUGAUAACUGUCCAGGGAUUAAGCAUAUCGGGAAAGGCGCAGAAUUGCCUAAUGUUGAGGUAAUUAGUGCAGCUGGUUCAGCAAUAAAUGAUGAAGGCCUGGCCAUGAUCGGAAACAGAUGUUCUCGCCUGCUGAAAUUAAACUUGGAGAACUGUAAAGGAGUGACUGCAGAGGGCUUACAUGCUAUAGUGAAAAACUGUAGAUCAUUGAGAGAUAUAAACUUGAAGAGGUGUCCUCAAGUUAGUAUCAAUUCUCUAAAUAGUUUGGUGUUUUCGUCUUCAUCACUAAGGAGAGUUAUUCCUCCCUGUUGCUCUGCUUUCACUGAUAGCUUGAGGGGAUUUUACUUGCACCACGGAUGUCGAGUGUACUCAGGCUAGUCUUUUCUUGGUACGUAGCACCCCUUUGGUUUCAAACAUUUUCCAUUUUCUUAUUUCUUGUGUGAUGUGUCAAUCGAUAAGUAAUCCUGUUUUUUCAUUCUUGUUAACCAAAUGUUGAAUUCUCCUGUAUUCGUUGAAAGUGGAAAUAGAGGAGCAACCUGCUAUCAUGAUGGGUGUUCUUUUUUAUAGAGUAUAAUUUUACGAUUUAAGUUUUGAUUCUUCAGAACAUUUCUGGAUUAGAUAUGGUUUCAAAUUAUUCUUGUAUAAUUAUAAAUUAGAUUUGAUUUGAUAUAAGCAUGUUUAUUAGGUGCUUAAUAAGUGAAAAUAACACUAACCAUUCAAAUCAUUCCUUCUAUAUCAAUCUUUUCACAUUGUAUAACAACAUACAGAAGUUUUGGAUUCGAGUUGCAGCGUCACUUGCACAUACUUGGUUCGGAAACAGAAUUAGGCCUGUAAGUAAAAAUGUGCACUCUCUUUAGAAACUAGCAUAAUACUAGAAUUUUAAUAAAAUAUGAUUUGCUUAUUUGGUAAUAUUAUAUAAGAAUUGACAAGUUUAGAUAGUUUUGACAGUUUAUGAGAAAAAAAUACAAUUUUAAAAAUCUAAAUUUUAUGUAUAACCCUCCCCAGACCCCAAUUGGUGGGAAUACACUGGGUUUGUUGUUGUUGUUGUAAAUUUUAUGUAUAAAUAAAAUUUCAUCUUCAAAUUCAAACUGGCCCUUAUGAUAAGAAGGGAGCUAUUUCCCCUCGCAUCUCAAAUUUGAAUCUUGAAAUGGACUAAAUCAAACACAAUCUACUAGUUCUUGGCUGGUCCAUCAAUAACGUAAAAGUAUAGACCCCACUUCAACAAUUUGACAAAGUGGUCACUUACUAAAUUCCAAGUUUUGCCAAAGAAAACAAUUCCAUAUUAACUGAACUCAAAAUCCCCUCUCUUUAUUCCAACUCAAUUUUCCUUUGCAAUUUUUAGCCCUAAUUAGCUCAAUACCAUGGCGAAUCAGUGGAAGGAUUUGCCAGUAGAAUGCUGGGAAAUGAUAUUCAAUCGUCUGCAUGACCAAUCCGAUUUGGAAUCAUUUUCUCUUGUAUGCAAACCGUUUCUUGCUUUGACAAAUUGUCUCCGUCUAAGUUUGUCUGUUAUCGACUCCACUUUGCUCAUCCAUGGUACCAUAUCGAAACUCAUUCAUCGUUUUCCGAAUCUUAAUUCCAUUGAUCUUAGUAAGCUUAGCUGUGAUCUUGACCCUGUUCUUGUUGAUCUUGCUAAUUCGAUCUCGUAUACAUCCAAUCUCGAACAACUUUGUGUUUCGAAUAGGAAAAAAUUACCCAUUAAAGGGUUGAAGGAAUUGGGUCGGAAAUUAAAGGGCUUGAGGGUUUUAACAUGUAGUAAUGUCAUUCUUUUGGAUGAUUCCGAUUUGUAUGUUAUUGCUGAUUUGUUUCCAUAUUUGGAAGAGCUAGAUAUUAGUAAUCCACACUCGGUUUUUGUUUUUAAUUCUUUUCGCAUGGCUUCUGAGGCUGGUAAGUUGGCGGUGACUGAUUCAGGGGUUGAGGUUUUGUCGAUGAAAAUGAGUAGCUUGUGGAAGAUUAAUAUUACUGGGAAUUGUUUGAUUACGGAUAGGUCUCUUGUUGCACUUUCUAUGAAUUGUUUGAAUUUAGAAGCGAUUGAGAUGGAAAAUUGCCGUUUGGUUACACUAAAAGGGAUCCUUUCUAUAUUGCGUGCUUGUGCUGCGUUGAGUUGGAUUUCAGUGUCUAAGAUUCACAUUGGUCGAUCGAGCUCUGGUUUUGAAUGUUUGGCUACUUCUAGACGAACGUUACAGAAAUUCGAGGUUUCCAGCUCGAGUAUCUCGGACGAAUUCCUCUUCAUGUUGGCUAAUGCUUCUCUCCCUUUGAAUACACUUUCACUUUGUUGGUGUACAGAUUUUACAUUGUCGGGUAUCUCUAAGCUAUUGUGUGCAUACCAGUCACUAAAGUCCAUAUCUUUGUUUCAAGUAGAAUUUUUGACAGAUGAGUGUAUGAAUGAGAUAUCCCAAUAUCUACGAUGUCUUGUCACCAUUCGUCUCAGCGGUUGUAAGAGAUUGACCAAUUUGGCGUUCUUCACACUUGCAAGAAACUGUCCUUCACUAGAGGAAGUUUACAUGGAAAAUACUGGUUUUUGGACGAAGGAUUGUUUUCAUAAUGGUGUAAUGAACCCGAGAAUCAGGGUUGUUGAUUUGUCAAGUUACUGGUACCUAGAUGAUGAAUCUCUCAUGAUGGUUGCUUUGAUGUGCCCCAACCUGGAAUGUCUUGCUGUGCGAUAUUGUGGUAGUCUUUCAGAGGCAGGUAUUAUUUAUGCUCUUGAGGUGUGCAAUCAGAUAAGGGAUUUGAGAUUUGAUGGCUGUCCAGGGAUUAAACAUAUCGGAGAAGGCGCGGAAUUGCCUAAUCUUGAGGUUAUUAGUGCAGUUGGUUCAGCAUUAAAUGAUAAAGGCCUGGUCAUGAUCGAAAGCAGAUGUUCUCGCCUGAUGAAAUUAAACUUGCAGAACUGUGAAGGAGUGACAGCAGAGGGCUUACAUGCAAUCGUGAAAAAUUGUAGAUCAUGGAGAGAGAUAAACUUGAGGUCCUCAAGUUAGUAUCCAUUCUCUAAAUAGUUUGGUGUUUUUGUCUUCAGCACCAAGGGGAUUUAUUCCGCCCUGUUGCUCUGCUUUUACUGAUAGCUUGAGGGGAUUUUACUUGCACCAUGGAUAUCUGUACUCAGAUUCUGGUGCUCAUUCUCAAGCUCGUGGCUAGAUAGUGGCAGAUUCCUUCUCAGAAGUUUGCGAGUUCUCUUCGUCCGGGGACGUAGCAGAGUUGGCUUCCUAGUUUCUUUCAGUUCAGACAUUGUUUUGUUUUAUGGGUAGGACCGGGGCCUUGUCCCGGCAAACUUAUUUCCUUCAGUAAUUAGAGGCUUGACAAACAUAAGUAUUUGGUUUUGUAUUUAGACAUCUUUUGAUUUUCAGAAUCUAGACAUGAUUUUUAGUUCACAGCUUCUGCUUUA
This is an RNA transcript of Capsicum annuum, 4968 nucleotides long. It is a transcript of the gene named F-box/LRR-repeat protein 3, with no coding region annotated. Lineage: Eukaryota; Viridiplantae; Streptophyta; Magnoliopsida; Solanales; Solanaceae. The transcript has 2 exons. The record is from RefSeq and is a predicted model, not a curated record.